CCGUUCCCCCCAGGGGCGGGGGAGGCCCAGCUCCCCUCUACCUGCACACGGUACCGGCUGCGGGUCAGAGACGGACGAGGCAGCAGGACCCUCAUCGUCCCCAAGGGCAGCGGGACCCUCGCCGUCCUCUCCGGGCUGCAGGACUCUCGCUGUCCCCCCGGGCAGUGGGCCCUUCACCAUCCCCAAAGGCAACAGGAGCCUCGCCAUUCUCCCAGGAUGGCAAAACCAUCACCGCCCCCAAGGGCGGCGGGACCCUGACCGUUCCCCCAGGGCAGCAGGACCCUCACUGUGUCCGAGAGUAGUGGGACCCUCACUGUCCCCCCCGGGCAGGGGGUCUCUCGUCACCCCCCAGUGCACAGGACCCUCGCCGCCCGCCAGCCGUCCUUGCGGGGGCUACAGGAGUGAGGCUCAGGGCCGGGGGCCAGAAGAGCAGACCCCCAUCAUGGGGGUCCCGUUAUCCGCAAGGCCGGCCAUCACUCACCCAACUCCGGCUUUGACUGAGAACCGUGACGUCAGAGCCAGAACCGUGACGUCACCCACGGCCCAUUCCGCUGCCUGCGUGGGCCCGGGGCCGAGGAGGGAGAUGGGCAACGGUGCCCGCCCCGUCAUCAGGCACCGUGCGACCCCUCCGCGUGAUGUCAUAUGUUUUUUUAAUUAUGUCACGCUCCUGUUCCGCCCCACCCCGGCCGCAGGCAGCUGCGGGGGGGAGGUGGGUGAUUCAGGCUGCUGCGGCGCCAGAUGUUCGGGAGAAGGUCCAGAUGUUGUCGGGACGCCGCCCCUGCAGAAGCGCAGGGGUGGCAAAAAGCGCGGUGUAACCCGGUGGGCUGGAGGGGUUCUGGGGCCGGCUCUGUACCCCCCGUUCCCCUAGAGCUCCCAAACGUCCCACACGACCCGGGGAGCGGGUGCGAUCCGAAUUACUACCACGCGCGGGUCCCGGCCACCCUCCAGAGCCCCAUUCCUACUCGGUACCGUCCUGCACGGGGGCGUGGGGAGGUCGGGAAGCCCCUUCCCAAUCCCGAACAGCCCCGGCCGCUGUCCGCCAUCCCGGGAUGUCCCGGUGCGCAGCGGGCGAGCCGCUCUCACGGGCCCCCCGGGCGGGUUUGAUGCUCGAAACGGCAGCACGGAGAGUUCGCUGGCGCCACGGCGUGAGGAGCCGGGUGGAACGCAGGGACCCCGCGGCCCUGCCCCAGCCCCGGUACCGCAUCCCCAGCCCUGGCAGCACC
Molecule: long non-coding RNA, 1223 nt
Filed under: Cyanistes caeruleus (blue tit)
Lineage: Eukaryota; Metazoa; Chordata; Aves; Passeriformes; Paridae
Description: lncRNA (ENSCCEG00000004000.1)
Source: RNAcentral